CUCCUUGCGAUAACUCGUAGGAUCUACUCUCUUUGCAACUUUCCUAUGUAUCGUGUAGCAGGCGUUAAGUAGGCAUCAUGUUGUACCUUACGUCCCUGGGACUUCUUUAUCUUAUAGCUGGAAGUUUGGUACCACAGCUUUGAAUUCUGGAACGCUGCUGAAUUUCUAGCCUUUCCCAUAUCACUAGUGCUAUGCACUAAAUCGAGUCCUCAUGCCCCCAUUUGAUCUCUCGAAGCACGCCCUAACACCCUGUGUGACCGUCUCAGGAGAUGAGCUUUAUGAGGUGAUGAAGGUUAAAUGAGGUCAUAAAGGUGGAUAACCUGACCUCAUGGCCUUAUAAGAAGAGGAAAUAGCACUUAAGGCCACACUGAGAAGGUGGCCAUCGGCAAGGCAAGAAGAGGGUCCUCGCGGAAACCAACCACGCCGUGUGAGAAAAUAAAUCUCCUGCGUGUGAGCCACCCAGCCGAUGUUAUUUUGUUACUGCAACCGGAGCUGACUAAUACAACUAGUUUUGCACUCUUCAUUAGCUUCUCUUGAGUCUUGGAUGAGGAAUGAAAGCUGGGCUCUCCCCUGCUGAGCAUUUAAGAAACACAGGCUGGUUCAAAUCUGAUGCUGGUUCAAAUCUCAGGCCUUGGAGGAAACCCUUUAGAGGGAAGAGCCAACGCAGCUCCCUCCAGUGAGGAUGUGAAGGUCGCUUCUGCAAGCUGGGUUUCUAAACCAGCAUCUAACAGAAAGAUGCCUUCUCCCUUAUCAAUCCUACUCCGUCUAGCCCAGGACUGUGGAACCCUUAAGAGCAUGGAGUCAGGCAGACCUGGCAUCUAUAGCUGUGCAGCUUCGGCGACUUUCUGAACUUCCAGAAGCUUGUUUUACCAUCCAUAAAAUAGAUUGUUGUGAGGAGUAAAUCACAUAAUAAUAAACGCACAUGGUAGGUACCAAGGAAGUGGUGUUGCUCUGUGUCUGUUAUUAGGUGCUGCAGAGGCUGGGGGCUCUCUCCUUGGGUGCGGAGCAGCGAUUCGCUCUGGCCUUGCAGCUGUGCCCUCCUCCCGAGAUCCUCAUGCAGGUUAGCAAGUCCAGAUAGCACGCCGCAAGGAGCCGUGACCCCUUUAGCCCCGAAGAGGGAGUGACGCUCAGAGGGGGCAAGGACCUCGAGUCUUUCCAAAGAGCUCAAGCUUCCGCUCCCCAAAGCAGAGUAAAGGCCAUGGUGCAAGAAGCCAUUUUGCUGCUGCAGGCUUGGGACUUGACUAAUCCCAGAGCUGGGAGAAGCGGUCUAGUCCAGGCCAGGCUCAUCCAUGUGCUCGUGUCAGUUUCAGACAAAAUGACUUCAGAGCAAGGGUUAGUAUCUAACUGAGCGGGGUGAGAACUCCCCUUUGAGGUACCCACUAAGGGAAAGGGAGAACCUGAUAAUUAACCAGGAUGACUUUGGUUCUCUCUCGAGGAGUGACCUAGACGGCCAUGUCAGGUUCUCCACGGUUCCCUCUCCAGGGUUGCAGCCUGGCCUCCGGCUUUCAGACAAGUUGCACCAGGCCAAGAGACUGCAGGAGCCUCGGGGAAUGUGCCACUGGCAUUUGAGAGUACAAAAGAAAAAAAACAUUCACAAAUGAGGCUUGGUUUUCUCUCUGGCCCGGCCCCUGGGUCCCUGGACUUGCCGCCAGAGAAGACCCCCACCUGCCCCGAGGUCCCCAGGAUCCCAGCCGGCGUUUGCUGCCCGGCGGGCUGUGCUCCGAGCGCCCCGCUUGCAGGGGCUCAGUUUUCCCAGUUGGCGACAGUGUUUGCACCUGCAGCUUCGUUGAUUCGUACUACAACUGGAACUUUAAUAAGGGAACACCACAUCCCACCAGUCACUCUGCACGAAGGCAGGAGCGCCCUAAUCGCCAGAUCAGUUCGCCUGUUUACCAGGCACCUGACAGGAAGGUGGGGGGGCAGGGUGGAGAGGACAAUGGCCUGCGUGUCAGGAGCCCGGGUUGUUUCCAGCCUCACCGCAGCCUGCCCCACCUUUCCUCGCUGCGCCUCCCUCUCCAUGGAGAGACCUGGAUAAAGCCGUCCGCGCGAGCGCGCCGGGAGGAUUGCGGAGACGGUGUCUGUGCGCAGCUCCGGGGCUCUGCAACCUUGCCGAGCUUGUUAUCAUCACCACCGUUCUCACUGCUGUUAAUCCUGACUUCCCCUCCCUGUCUGUUUUGGCAUCUACAUAACCCAAGUGUUUGUGCAUGUGCCUGCGUGCUUGUGUGUGUGUUCGGGGAGGUGGGGUGGCAUUUUGUUCGGAAUAAAAGUCAACCCCUAUUCCAAGCUGGAAACCCCCUAAAGCUUGACAGAUGAA
This is a non-coding RNA of Equus caballus (horse), 2314 nucleotides long. Lineage: Eukaryota; Metazoa; Chordata; Mammalia; Perissodactyla; Equidae. The record is from RefSeq and is a predicted model, not a curated record.